This 214-nucleotide ribosomal RNA is filed under the name uncultured bacterium. RNAcentral describes it as "partial 16S ribosomal RNA". It matches the Rfam family "Bacterial small subunit ribosomal RNA", at positions 140 to 353 of the family's 1533-position model. The record is from RNAcentral.
GGGAUAGCCUUUCGAAAGAAAGAUUAAUACCCGAUGGCAUAAUAGAACCGCAUGGUUUGAUUAUUAAAGAAUUUCGGUUAUCGAUGGGGAUGCGUUCCAUUAGGCAGUUGGUGGGGUAACGGCCCACCAAACCUUCGAUGGAUAGGGGUUCUGAGAGGAAGGUCCCCCACAUUGGAACUGAGACACGGUCCAAACUCCUACGGGAGGCAGCAUG